AGAGUUUGANCCUGGCUCAGAACGAACGCUGGCGGCAGGCCUAACACAUGCAAGUCGAGCGCCCAGCAAUGGGAGCGGCGGACGGGUGAGUAACGCGUGGGAAUUUUUCCUGGAGUACGGAACAACCGAGGGAAACUUCGGCUAAUACCGUAUGAUAUCGAGAGAUCAAAGAUUUAUCGCUCUGGGGUGAGCCCGCGUCAGAUUAGGUAGUUGGUGGGGUAACGGCCUACCAAGCCUGCGAUCUGUAGCUGGUCUGAGAGGACGAUCAGCCACACUGGGACUGAGACACGGCCCAGACUCCUACGGGAGGCAGCAGUGGGGAAUCUUGCGCAAUGGGCGAAAGCCUGACGCAGCCAUGCCGCGUGAGUGAAGAAGGUCUUAGGAUUGUAAAGCUCUUUCGCUCGUGACGAUGAUGACGGUAACGAGAGAAGAAGCCCCGGCUAACUUCGUGCCAGCAGCCGCGGUAAUACGAAGGGGGCUAGCGUUGUUCGGAAUUACUGGGCGUAAAGCGCGCGUAGGCGGUUUUGCAAGCCAGAGGUGAAAUGCCUGAGCUCAACUUAGGAAUUGCCUUUGGGACUGCGAGGCUUUGAGGACUGAAGAGGUGAGUGGAAUUCCCAGUGUAGAGGUGAAAUUCGUAGAUAUUGGGAAGAACACCGGUGGCGAAGGCGGCUCACUGGCCAGUUUCUGACGCUGCAGCGCGAAAGCGUGGGGAUCAAACAGGAUUAGAUACCCUGGUAGUCCACGCUGUAA
RNAcentral lists this ribosomal RNA (750 nucleotides) under uncultured Rhizobium sp. Its description in RNAcentral is "bacterial SSU rRNA". It matches the Rfam family "Bacterial small subunit ribosomal RNA", at positions 8 to 805 of the family's 1533-position model. The record is from RNAcentral. Lineage: Bacteria; Pseudomonadati; Pseudomonadota; Alphaproteobacteria; Hyphomicrobiales; Rhizobiaceae.